GCCCAAGAGAUCGGGAUAGCACCUGGAAACAGAUGCUAAUACCGGAUAACAACUAGAUGAUGCCUAUCAACUGUUUAAAAGAUGGUUCUGCUAUCACUCUUGGAUGGACCUGCGGUGCAUUAGCUAGUUGGUAGGGUAACGGCCUACCAAGGCGAUGAUGCAUAGCCGAGUUGAGAGACUGAUCGGCCACAUUGGGACUGAGACACGGCCCAAACUCCUACGGGAGGCAGCAGGU
This 235-nucleotide ribosomal RNA is filed under the name uncultured Lactobacillus sp. RNAcentral's name for it is "partial 16S ribosomal RNA". It matches the Rfam family "Bacterial small subunit ribosomal RNA", at positions 128 to 354 of the family's 1533-position model. Lineage: Bacteria; Bacillati; Bacillota; Bacilli; Lactobacillales; Lactobacillaceae. The record is from RNAcentral.